Molecule: non-coding RNA, 24 nt
Filed under: Drosophila melanogaster (fruit fly)
Lineage: Eukaryota; Metazoa; Arthropoda; Insecta; Diptera; Drosophilidae
Also listed under: 3 other names
Source: RNAcentral
CUGAAUGUCAAAGUGAAGAAAUUC